UUGGGGAGUACCCGCUUUGAUGCUUCAAAUUUCAUCAUUCUGCCUCGGGGUGUGCCGCCUCAGCUCCCGGGGCUGAUGACCCCUUAUCCGACUUUCGGCCUUCUAUGCACAUUACCGGAAAUGUUGUGGUUCUGCAGAUUAUUACCUACCCUUUCCGCUCCUGAUGAGUGGCGUCAGUCACGAAACGCGUAGAGCUACCAGAUCUCUAUUUCUACCCAGAACACCAUUUCUACACAUACUAAGCAUACUGGAAUAUACCAAUGAACUACAAGUCUAUAAAAUACCUUUUUUACCUGGAGACACAUGCCGAUCAGUCUGGUUCUAAUACUGUCUGCAAUAUGAACCCAUAUGUUACGAUGCUAUGCUUUUAUUAUUAUGUUAUCAAAUUGUUUGAAAUCUAUCAUAUAUAUUUGACUACUGGCUACGCAUUUGACUACUAUGUAACUUAUGUGGUCCACUGUAGCCACGUACGACUUACCAGACAAUAUCUGUCAUGUUUUUUCUCCUUGAGCUUAUUAUUUUUGCUCGCUUAUUUAUUACUAUUGUACCAUACUACCAAUAUUGGGACCAUUGGCGUACACCAAUGAAUCCCAAUUUUACUAGUUUUUUCUAAAAUGGAGUGACACGUCAGUUAGUCUGGUUUUUAUUUUUACAUACAUUAUGAACAUGUAUGUUGCCAAGCCAUAUCAACUAUAUGCCAGCAUUAUACCUACUAUGUAUUAUAUACUACUGUAAUUACUGUGCUAACAUGCUAUGUGUGUGGUUCUUGGUGGCAAUGAGCCCACUUGGUACCAUGUUAUGUCAUUAUUAUGUUCUCAAAUCUAUGUGCAAUAAAUUGUAUCAUUUAUGUUUUA
Molecule: long non-coding RNA, 854 nt
Organism: Rana temporaria (common frog)
Lineage: Eukaryota; Metazoa; Chordata; Amphibia; Anura; Ranidae
Exons: 2
Source: RefSeq, a predicted model, not a curated record